Non-coding RNA from Schistosoma mansoni, 48 nucleotides. The record is from Rfam. NCBI's taxonomy places the organism in Eukaryota, Metazoa, Platyhelminthes, Trematoda, Strigeidida, Schistosomatidae.
ACCCAGCUGACGGGUCCCAAAAAGGACGAAACGCGCGUCAAACUGGAU